RNAcentral lists this ribosomal RNA (460 nucleotides) under uncultured bacterium. RNAcentral describes it as "partial 16S ribosomal RNA". It matches the Rfam family "Bacterial small subunit ribosomal RNA", at positions 338 to 795 of the family's 1533-position model. The record is from RNAcentral.
CCUACGGGAGGCAGCAGUGAGGAAUAUUGGUCAAUGGACGAGAGUCUGAACCAGCCAAGUAGCGUGAAGGAUGACUGCCCUAUGGGUUGUAAACUUCUUUUAUAUGGGAAUAAAAUGUUCCACGUGUGGGAUUUUGUAUGUACCAUAUGAAUAAGGAUCGGCUAACUCCGUGCCAGCAGCCGCGGUAAUACGGAGGAUCCGAGCGUUAUCCGGAUUUAUUGGGUUUAAAGGGAGCGUAGGUGGAUUGUUAAGUCAGUUGUGAAAGUUUGCGGGUCAACCGUAAAAUUGCAGUUGAAACUGGCAGUCUUGAGUACAGUAGAGGUGGGCGGAAUUCGUGGUGUAGCGGUGAAAUGCUUAGAUAUCACGAAGAAAUCCGAUUGCGAAGGCAGUUCACUGGACUGCAACUGACACUGAGGCUCGAAAGUGUGGGUAUCAAACAGGAUUAGAUACCCCGGUAGUC